This 460-nucleotide ribosomal RNA is filed under the name uncultured bacterium. RNAcentral describes it as "partial 16S ribosomal RNA". It matches the Rfam family "Bacterial small subunit ribosomal RNA", at positions 338 to 795 of the family's 1533-position model. The record is from RNAcentral.
CCUACGGUGGGCAGCAGUGAGGAAUAUUGGUCAAUGGGCGGAAGCCUGAACCAGCCAAGUAGCGUGCAGGAUGACGGCCCUACGGGUUGUAAACUGCUUUUAUACGGGAAUAACGCGCCUUACGUGUAGGGCUUUGCAUGUACCGUAUGAAUAAGGACCGGCUAAUUCCGUGCCAGCAGCCGCGGUAAUACGGAGGGUCCGGGCGUUAUCCGGCUUUAUUGGGUUUAAAGGGAGCGUAGGCGGGAUGUCAAGCGUGUUGUGAAAUGUCCGGGCUCAACCCGGGCCUUGCAGCGCGGACUGGCGUGCUUGAGUCCGCGGAAGGCAGGCGGAAUUCGUGGUGUAGCGGUGAAAUGCUUAGAUAUGACGAAGAACCCCGAUUGCGAAGGCAGCUUGCUGCAGCGGAACUGACGUUGAUGCUCGAAAGCGCGGGUAUCGAACAGGAUUAGAUACCCUUGUAGUC